This 92-nucleotide microRNA precursor is filed under the name Mustela putorius furo (domestic ferret). Its description in RNAcentral is "microRNA 371a (ENSMPUG00000021926.1)". The stretch from base 17 to 84 matches the Rfam family "mir-290 microRNA precursor family". The record is from RNAcentral. Lineage: Eukaryota; Metazoa; Chordata; Mammalia; Carnivora; Mustelidae.
GAGAUAGUCUCCGUCGGUGACACUCAAAAAAUGGCGGCACUUCCCUACUCAGAACAGAAAGUGCCCCCACAGUUUGAGUUCCACAGACGGAG